GAUGAACGCUGGCGGCGUGCUUAACACAUGCAAGUCGAACGGAAAGGCCAGUGCUUGCACUUGUACUCGAGUGGCGAACGGGUGAGUAACACGUGUGUGAUCUGCCCUUUACUUCUGGAUAAGCUUGCGAAACUGGGUCUCAUACCGGAUAUGACAACUUUUUGGAUAUUGUUGUGGAAAGCUUUUGCGGUAUGGGAUGAGCUCUCGGCCUAUCAGCUUGUUGGUGGGGUAUUGGCCUACCAAGGCGUCGACGGGUAGCCGGCCUGAGAGGGUGUACGGCCACAUUGGGACUGAGAUACGGCCCAGACUACUACGGGAGGCAGCAGUGGGGAAUAUUGCACAAUGGGCGCAAGCCUGAGGCAGCGACGCCGCGUGGGGGAUGAAGGCCUUCGGGUUGUAAACUCCUUUCGCUAGGGACGAAGCUUUUUUGUGACGGUACCUGGAGAAGAAGCACCGGCUAACUACGUG
Molecule: ribosomal RNA, 468 nt
Filed under: uncultured bacterium
Lineage: Bacteria
Description: partial 16S ribosomal RNA
Rfam family: Bacterial small subunit ribosomal RNA
Source: RNAcentral